UUGCAGUUCCACUCUAGUUCCACUAGAGGGCGCUCACAAGCCAGCGCAGAAUGAAUGGGACUCUAUGGAGCUAUACCCCU
This is a long non-coding RNA of Etheostoma spectabile (orangethroat darter), 80 nucleotides long. RefSeq lists it as uncharacterized. Lineage: Eukaryota; Metazoa; Chordata; Actinopteri; Perciformes; Percidae. The record is from RefSeq and is a predicted model, not a curated record. The transcript is spliced from 3 exons.